RNAcentral lists this ribosomal RNA (433 nucleotides) under uncultured bacterium. Its description in RNAcentral is "partial 16S ribosomal RNA". It matches the Rfam family "Bacterial small subunit ribosomal RNA", at positions 29 to 507 of the family's 1533-position model. The record is from RNAcentral.
AACGAACGCUGGCGGCAGGCCUAACACAUGCAAGUCGAGCGAGGACUUCGGAUCUAGCGGCGGACGGGGGAGUAACGCUUGGGAAGGUGCCCUUCUCUACGGAAUAGUCCUUGGAAACUGGGGGUAAUACCGUAUAAGUCCUAUUGGGGAAAGAUACAUCGGACAAGGAUCAGCCCGCGUUGGUUUAGGUUGUUGGUGUGGUAAGGGCCUACCACGCCGUCGAUCGAUAGCUGGUUUGAGAGGCAGCGCAGCCACACUGGGACUGGGACGCGGUCCAGACUCCUACGGGAGGCAGCAGUGGGGAAUCCUAGAAAACGGGGGCAGUCAUGAUCGAGUCAGGCCGGGUGAGUGAUGAAGUCCUUAGAGUAGUAAAGCUCUUUCAGCUGGGAAGAUAAUGACGGUACCAGCAGAAGAAGCCCCGGCUAACUCCGUG